AAGUUAUCCUUCCCUUUAGAAGAACUAUAAUUUUUGUUUAGAACUGAAGUAUUCAUGAACAAAAUUACUUCAGUUCUAAACAAAAAUUACAGUUCUUCUAGAAAGGAAAGGAUAACUUAAAACUCUG
RNAcentral lists this microRNA precursor (127 nucleotides) under Marmota monax (woodchuck). Lineage: Eukaryota; Metazoa; Chordata; Mammalia; Rodentia; Sciuridae. The record is from RNAcentral.